UACGUAGGGGGCAAGCGUUGUCCGGAAUUAUUGGGCGUAAAGAGCGUGUAGGCGGUCCGGUAAGUCGGCUGUGAAAGUCCAGGGCUCAACCCUGGGAUGCCGGUCGAUACUGCCGGACUAGAGUUCGGAAGAGGCGAGUGGAAUUCCCGGCGUAGCGGUGAAAUGCGCAGAUAUCGGGAGGAACACCUAUGGCGAAGGCAGCUCGCUGGGACGUUACUGACGCUGAGACGCGAAAGCUAGGGGAGCAAACAGG
RNAcentral lists this ribosomal RNA (253 nucleotides) under uncultured bacterium. RNAcentral describes it as "partial 16S ribosomal RNA". It matches the Rfam family "Bacterial small subunit ribosomal RNA", at positions 524 to 776 of the family's 1533-position model. The record is from RNAcentral.